UACGUAGGUGACCAGCGUUGUCCGGAUUUACUGGGCGUAAAGAGCGCGCAGGCGGUCGUUCAAGUCGAGUGUGAAAGCCCCCGGCUCAACUGGGGAGGGUCACUCGAUACUGAUCGACUUGAAGGCAGGAGAGGGAAGCGGAAUUCCCGGUGUAGUGGUGAAAUGCGUAGAUAUCGGGAGGAACACCUGUGGCGAAAGCGGCGCACUGGACCACAACUGACGCUGAGGCGCGAAAGCUAGGGGAGCAAACAGG
RNAcentral lists this ribosomal RNA (253 nucleotides) under uncultured bacterium. RNAcentral describes it as "partial 16S ribosomal RNA". It matches the Rfam family "Bacterial small subunit ribosomal RNA", at positions 524 to 776 of the family's 1533-position model. The record is from RNAcentral.